Long non-coding RNA from Mustela erminea (ermine), 628 nucleotides. RefSeq lists it as uncharacterized. The record is from RefSeq and is a predicted model, not a curated record. Lineage: Eukaryota; Metazoa; Chordata; Mammalia; Carnivora; Mustelidae. The transcript is spliced from 3 exons.
AGCGCUUGUCUGGUAUUUUAUUCAACGGAGCCAAAGUCAUUUUGAAAGAGAGUGUGUUUGCAAAGAUGGAGAUUCCAGCAAAAUUAAGCUUGUUCCCCUGUGUGGUCUCCGCAGCUCUCCCGUGUUGAGGAAGCCGGCUGGAGUGCCCGUGACGCUCUCUCCCAAGCUGUCGGGGUUUCUCCUCUCCAGUGGUGGAUGGCCUUCUGGGUGUCCAGCGAGACUCAGAUGUCUGUCGUCCAUGGGAAUGAAGACGGCCUUUUCUGGCUGAACGCGGCCUCUCUCACUACUCGUCCCGUUCCAUUUCUCCACGUCACGCCAGAAUCAGAUGGUGAUUUUUUCCCCAUCUGUUGCCACAAUCUGUUCAAACUGCCACAUUCCGAGAGCCCCCGGGAAGCUGCGUAGCCCAGAACGGGAAAUGAAGGUGCUCCUGCCCCACUUCCUGCGGGUCUGGUCCUGGGCGCAGCGGUGGGGUGCGGUGGGCGCUCGGCCUCUCACGCCGCGGGCAGAAGCGUCGCUCUGUCUCGGAUGCCCGUGGUGAGUGACGCAGAAGCGACCGGACUGGGCCGGGGUUCAAUCCUGAAACCUCAAAAUAGUCUCCCCUCUAAUACAGAAAUAUUUAGUAAAGAAG